This 5119-nucleotide long non-coding RNA is filed under the name Capsicum annuum. RNAcentral describes it as "long non-coding RNA (CANN_LNC011715)". The record is from RNAcentral. Lineage: Eukaryota; Viridiplantae; Streptophyta; Magnoliopsida; Solanales; Solanaceae.
GAAAAACUAGAAUCAUCAAGCUCAUCAAAAAGAACAAGUUAUGAAACAAAUUCAAUAAGUAAUUUAAACCAAUAUUACAUAACAGGAAAAAUAAAUGAAAAAGAAUAUCUAAUACUUUUGAAUACAGGACAAGAAGAAAAUUAUAUAGCAAAAUAUCUAGUAAAAAAUGAAGAAAUAAAAACCGAUAAUAAUAUAUGCCCAGACUUACCAAGAAGUUUAAUAAAUAAUAAAAAUAUAGCAGAAAAAGAAAUAAUAUUAGGAGUUAGAAAAAUAAAAAUAGAAUUCGAAGUAAAAGAAGAAAUGCAAAAAGCAGAUAUAAUAUUAGGAAUAAAAUGGUUAGAACAAGUAAAACCAUAUAAUAUAGAACAUACACAAUUAACCUUAACAUAUAACCAAGAAAAGUUAUUCUUAAAAAGAGCCUUAACAUGAAAUGAAGAUACAUGUAUUAAUGAAGAUAGUAGUAGAAGGAUAUUACAGUAGAUAUUAUACGCCUAUGAUAGAUACAGGAGCAGAAGCUAAUUUAUGUAGAUAUAAUUGCUUACCAGAAAGCAAAUGGGAUAAACUAAAAACACCAAUAAUAGUUAAAGGAUUUAAUAAUGAAGGAAGCUUAAUUACUUAUAAAGCUAGGAAUGUAAAAAUACAAGUAUGGGAUAAGAUAUUAACAAUAGAAGAAAUUUAUAACUAUGAAUUAACAUCAAAAGAUAUACUUUUAGGAAUGCCAUUUUUAGAUAAAUUAUACCCACAUAUAAUAACCAAAACAGACUGGUGGUUUACAACACCAUGCAAACAAAAAGUAAGAGCAAAAAGAGUUAAUAAUAAAAUAAGAAAGAAAACUGAUUGGAUAAAAGGAAGUGAAAAAAUUACACAAAAGUUAGAAAAUAUAAAAAAUACUGAAGAUACAGUAGAACUAGUAGUAUUUUCGAUAAAUAAAACAGAAAUAACUAUAUUUUCAAUAAAUAAAAUAGAAAUAAUUCAGAAAAAAUUAGAACAAUUAUAUAGUGAAGAUCCAUUAAAAGGAUGGGAAAAACACAAAACUACUAUAAAAAUUGAAUUAAUAGAUAAGAAUAGCAUAAUAACACAAAAACCAUUAACAUAUAAUUUUGAUGAUUUAAAAGAAUUUAAAAUGCACAUAGAUGAAUUAUUAGAAAAACAAUAUAUACAAAAAAGUAAUAGUAAACAUAAUAGUCCAGCAUUUAUAGUAAAUAAACAUAGUGAACAAAAAAGAGGAAAAAGUAGGAUGGUUAUUGACUAUAGAAAUUUAAAUGCAAAAACUAUAACAUAUAAUUAUCCGAUACCAAAUAAGAUAUUAAAAAUAAGACAAAUCCAAGGAUAUAAUUAUUUUAGCAAAUUUGAUUGUAAAUCAGGAUUUUACCACCUAAAGCUAGAAGAAGAAUCUAAAGAAUUAACCGCAUUUACGGUACCACAAGGAUUUUAUGAAUGGAACGUGUUACCAUUUGGAUAUAAAAAUGCACCAGGUAGAUAUCAACAUUUUAUGGAUAAUUAUUUUAAACAAUUAUCUAAUUGUAUAGUAUACAUAGAUGAUAUAUUAUUAUACACCAAAACCAAAGAAGAACAUUUAAAAUUAUUAGAACAAUUCACAGAUAUAAUAGAAAAAUCAGGAAUAAGUCUAAGCAAAAAGAAAGCUGAAAUUAUGAAAAACCAGAUAGAAUUUUUAGGAAUACAAAUAGAUAAAAGUGGAGUAAAAAUGCAACAACAUAUAGUACAAAAAAUAAUAAAUUCGAAAGAAGAAUUAGAUACAAAAAAGAAAUUACAAUCAUUUUUAGGAUUAGUAAACCAAGUAAGAGAAUAUAUUCCAAAAUUAGCAGAAACCUUAAAACCACUGCAGAAAAAAUUAAAAAAGGAUAUAGAAUAUAAUUAUGAUGAAAAAGAUAAAAAACAAGUUCAAAAAAUAAAAUUACUUUGUAGAGAAUUACCAAAAUUGCAAUUUCCAGAUGAAAAUAGAAAAUUUAUAUAUAUAGUAGAAGCAGAUGCAAGUGAAUAUAGUUACGGAGGAGUACUUAAAUAUCGAUAUGAAGCAGAAAAAAUAGAACACCAUUGUAGAUACUACUCAGGUACGUUCAACGAGACAGAAAUAAAAUGGGAAAUAAAUAGGAAAGAAUUAUGUUCAUUAUAUAAAUGUUUAUUAGCAUUUGAGCCAUAUAUUGUAUAUAACAAAUUUAUUGUACGAACAGAUAAUACACAGGUACGCUGGUGGUUAACAAAGAAAAUACAAAAUUCAGUUACAACAAAAGAGAUUCGAAGACUAGUUUUAAAUAUAUUAAAUUUCACAUUUACAAUUGAAGUGAUCAGUACUAACAAAAAUGUUAUUGCAGAUUACAUAUCAAGACAAAGCUACACAGACUGAAAUAGUAGAGGAAGAUACUCUAGAAAAAAUACUUAACACCCUAACUACGCUUUCAAUGAAAGUGGACAGUAUGGGUAAUGAGAUAGAAAAGCUAAAGACUAAUGAAGAUAAACUGAAGUCUAUAGCUACAAAUCAGCUAACUCAGCAGUGUGCAGAGCUAUGUCGACCGGAAGACAUUAAAAAUCCAGAGCUAGAAGGAGACGUUGGGACACUCCAUAAAACCCAUAACAUUUAUCAAUCUACUUCUGCAGGUACAAGCAAAGGAGUUAAUAGACCAAGAUACCAGAAUGUAAAUAUGAACAAAAUAUUUGAAAAACCAUUUACCCCAAAAGCACAAAAAGACCAUUUAUUCAUACCCCCACAAGUUAACACAUACCGAGACAGCCUAAACCAAGACAAGAAAAUAUACAACUACACAGCCCAAAAAUACAUAGAAAAUAUAUAUAGAGUCCAAACCUUUCUAAACCAUAACCCCAGAGCUACAAAUAUCCAAGAACCAAAUACCAAUUAUAUAACCCAAAAACUACAAGGAUACAAUAAACUGAUAGCACUACCCAAAACUAACCCAAGCCUAGUUAAAACCUGUUUUGACUAUGGACUACUAAAUACCAUAUACACCCAAGACGGAGAAGAGCUAACAGCUAUGGAGGAAUUAUACAAGAUAUUCACUACCUACAAAAGAAUAAAAAAAGGAAAUUUAUUUUAUAUAAAGUGUUAUACUGCACCAGCAGAGAUAUUAUAUGAUGAAAUAAAACCAGUGAUACAGAAAGUAAAGAAAUAAGAAAAUUAUAUUUUAAUAAAUUACCCGAGCCAUUUAGUUCGAAAAUAAUAAAAAGUUGGGAAGAAGCAAAAAUAGUAGAUACGUUAGGAGCAAGAAUAAAAUAUUUACAACAAUGGUAUAGAAACUUAUGUGAAAAAUAUAGAGAAGAAUUAAAAAUGGAAAAAACAUUAAUAAGAAAUUUAGCUUGUUGCAAAAAUAAAAUAGCACCCCAAUUUGGAUGCGAAGAAAGAUAUUAUAAGAAAAGAAAAAGACAUAAGAAAUAUAAGAAAUAUAAAAAAUCAAAAUAUAAAUAUAAAAAACCAAGAAAAAGAUACUAUGUAAAAAAUUAUAAACAUAAAAGACCAUAUAGAAAAAAGAAAUCUAUAAAAGAAUGUACUUGUUAUAAUUGUGGAAAGUUAGGACAUUUAGCUAGAGAUUGUAAAUUACCUAAAAAUCCAAAAAAUAAACAAAUAUCAGAAAUAAAAAUAGAAAAUACCGAAUACAUGCAGAUAGAUUAUAUAGAUUAUGAAUUAGAAAGUGAAGAUAGUAUAUAUGAAAUUUCAGAAAACGAAACAGAUAAUGAAAUAGAUAGCGAAAUAGAUGAAUCAAAUGACUGAAGAAGAUAUAAAAAUAAUAACAAAGGAAGAAUAUUUAAAUGAUGAAGGAACGGAACAAAAAAUAAUAUUUGACAGUAAUAUAUUUGAUGAAAUAAAAGGAAAAGAAUUAGAUUUAAGUGUAGAAAAAAUAUUUAAAAUACCAACAAUAAAAAAUAUUUUUACUAGGAAAAAGGAUGAAUAUUAUGUAGUAUGUCAAAAAGAACAUGUAAUAGACUGCAGAUAUGCAAAAGGAAAAGCUAGUAUACCAUUAGUAACAAAAAGAAUAAUUAAUAAAGAAAUAAAUGAUAUAAAAAGUAAAGGAGAUCCAAUAAAAUAUGUACACCUUGGAGGUACAGAGAUAUUAAUAAAAGCAUGUUUUAGAGAAGGAAUAGAUACACCAAUAGAAUUAUAUUUAGCAGACGAUAGAAUUAUAAAACCUAUAGAAAAAAGCAUAAUAACUGCCGUAAAAGGAAAUCUAAUAUACCAAAAAUUUAAAUUUAUAAUAAGUGCAAAUUAUUCAGUAGCAGUAACAGAUAGGAAUAUAGAUAAAUCAUUAGUAUUAUAUUGGAAAAUAUCAGGAAUAGAAUUAACCCCAGGAAGUAAAAUAUUUACAGCAAGAUGUAAAAAUCUAUAUGUAUUAACAACAAAACAUAAAAUAACAGGAAAAAAUAAGAUUAACAAAAUACAAAUAGAAAGCCCAUUCGAACAAAUAGUAAAAACAAUAGAUUAUAAUGAUUAUACCUAUAGAGACAUAGAUACAGAAGAAAAUUUAGAAAUAGUAAAUGAUAGAAUAAGUACAACGAAAAGAAUAGCUAAUGAAAAGCCAGAAUCAUCAAGCUCAUCAAAAAGAACAAGUUAUGAAACAAAUUCAAUAAGUAAUUUAAACCAAUAUUACAUAACGGGAAAAAUAAAUGAAAAAGAAUAUUUAAUACUUUUGAAUACAGGACAAGAAGAAAAUCAUAUAGCAAAAUAUCUAGUAAAAAAUGAAGAAAUAAAAACCGACAAUAAUAUAUGCCCAGACUUACCAAGAAGUUUAAUAAAUAAUAAAAAUAUAGCAGAAAAAGAAAUAAUGUUAGGAGUUAGAAAAAUAAAAAUAGAAUUCGAAGUAAAAGAAGAAAUGCAAAAAGCAGAUAUAAUAUUAGGAAUAAAAUGGUUGGAACAAGUAAAACCAUAUAAUAUAGAACAUACACAAUUAACCUUAACAUAUAACCAAGAAAAGUUAUUCUUAAAAAGAGCCUUAACAUGAAAUGAAGAUACAUGUAUUAAUGAAGAUAGUAGUAGAAGGAUAUUACAGUAGAUAUUAUACGCCUAUGAUAGAUACAGGAGCAGAAGCUAAUUUAUGUAGAUAUAAUUGCUUACCAGAAAGCAAAUGGGAUAAACUAAAAACACCAAUAAUAG